Molecule: non-coding RNA, 203 nt
Filed under: Morus notabilis
Lineage: Eukaryota; Viridiplantae; Streptophyta; Magnoliopsida; Rosales; Moraceae
Description: Bacterial small subunit ribosomal RNA
Rfam family: Bacterial small subunit ribosomal RNA
Source: Rfam by way of RNAcentral
GGUGGGGGUCUUAAAUAAGGCGGUGGAGUAUCGUAUCCUUCCCUUGCUAAAAUGGCUGGGACAAAGUAUUGCGAUUCCGCGAGGGUGAGCUAACUCUGAAAACCUGUUGAGAUUGUAGACUGCAAUUGGCCUAUAAUAAGUCCGGAAUAGCUAGUAAUUGUCAAUCAGCCGUACGGCGGGAAAUUCGUUACUGGGCCUUGUAC